AGUGAACGCUGGCGGCAGGCCUAAUACAUGCAAGUCGAACGGCAGCACAGUGGAGCUUGCUCCAUGGGUGGCGAGUGGCGGACGGGUGAGGAAUACAUGGGAAUCUGCCCAGUCGUGGGGGAUAACGUAGGGAAACUUACGCUAAUACCGCAUGCGCCCUUCGGGGGAAAGCCGGGGACCGUAAGGCCUGGCGCGAUUGGAUGAGCCCAUGUCGGAUUAGCUAGUUGGCGGGGUAACGGCCCACCAAGGCGACGAUCCGUAGCUGGUCUGAGAGGAUGAUCAGCCACACUGGAACUGAGACACGGUCCAGACUCCUACGGGAGGCAGCAGUAGGGAAUAUUGGACAAUGGGCGCAAAGCCUGAUCCAGCCAUGCCGCGUGAGUGAAGAAGGCCUCGGGUUGUAAAGCUCUUUUGUCCGGAAAGAAAAGCACUGGGUUAAUACCCCGGUGUCCUGACGGUACCGGAAGAAUAAGCACCGGCUAACUUCGUGCCAGCAGCCGCGGUAA
RNAcentral lists this ribosomal RNA (506 nucleotides) under uncultured bacterium. RNAcentral's name for it is "bacterial SSU rRNA". It matches the Rfam family "Bacterial small subunit ribosomal RNA", at positions 29 to 523 of the family's 1533-position model. The record is from RNAcentral.